This 30-nucleotide ribosomal RNA is filed under the name Morus cathayana. RNAcentral describes it as "partial 28S ribosomal RNA". The record is from RNAcentral. Lineage: Eukaryota; Viridiplantae; Streptophyta; Magnoliopsida; Rosales; Moraceae.
ACCCCAGCUCAGGCGGGGCUACCCGCUGAG